RNAcentral lists this ribosomal RNA (324 nucleotides) under uncultured Bacillota bacterium. RNAcentral describes it as "bacterial SSU rRNA". It matches the Rfam family "Bacterial small subunit ribosomal RNA", at positions 28 to 351 of the family's 1533-position model. The record is from RNAcentral. Lineage: Bacteria; Bacillati; Bacillota.
GAUGAACGCUGGCGGCGUGCCUAAUACAUGCAAGUCGAACGAAGAGAUAGCUUGCUAUCUCUUAGUGGCGAACGGGUGAGUAAUACAUAAACAAUCUGCCCAUACGACUGGGAUAACCGUUGGAAACGAUGGCUAAUACCGGAUAGGUGAGGAGGAGGCAUCUUCUUCUUAUUAAAGUUGGGACACAACGCGUGUGGAUGAGUUUAUGGCGCAUUAGCUAGUUGGCGGGGUAACGGCCCACCAAGGCAACGAUCCAUAGCCGGCCUGAGAGGGUGAACGGCCACAUUGGGACUGAGACACGGCCCAAACACCUACGGGUGGCAG